AUGCCAACCCUUUUCAAUAUAUCAAAUACAGAACACGCUGAGAAGUGGACCCACUCCUCCUCUCCACUUCACCCGCUCCUCCUCUCCAUUAUCCACUCGACCCACUCCUCCUCUCCGCCGCUGGCAUCCCCUUCUCCUCCAUCGAUGGCGACGACCUCCCUGGCGACCCACUACUCCAUCGACGGAGAUGGCGAUGGCCUCCUAAGGUAUGAAUCUGCCAACUCCUUCCUGUUCCUCUUCCUAUUGAUUAGAUUAGGGUUCCAUGGCACAUGCUGUUUAGGGUUCGAUUGUAGCCGAAGUAGAUCCACGGGAUCAAGAGGAGGCCUCCACCCUCUGCGUCCACGACACCCUCUGCAGUCGCCGCCCCACCCCCAGAGAAGUGAGAUGGCUGGCAUGGAAGGUUUUGAGUUCUUCGAGAUCGUAAUGGAGAAAUCUUGCAGUAGGCAGAGGCUGCCUCACAAGUUUGUGAAGAUGCUCGCCGGUCGUGAGCCCCACAAAGUGAAGCUGCGGGAGGCCGGUAGCAGGCGUCGCAGGCUAUGGGACGUGGUGGUGGUGUUCGACGGCGAAGGCCACAUGUACUUAGGGAUCGGCUGGGAGCAUUUCACCCACGCCCAUGAGCUGCAUCUUGGGCACCUCCUUGUCUUCCGCUACGAUGGCGACGCCAUGUUCACCGUGAAGAUGUUCGACAACACCAUGUGUUGCAUGUACUACCAGCACGAUGACGAUGCCAGCAAUGGGAGCAGCAGCGGGGAUGAUGAGGAGCAGAGUGGGAAAGAAGAGGAGCAGAGCAGGGAUGACGAGGAGCAGAGCGGGGAUGACGAGGAGUAG
This 828-nucleotide ribosomal RNA is filed under the name Triticum aestivum (bread wheat). RNAcentral's name for it is "partial small subunit ribosomal RNA". The record is from RNAcentral. Lineage: Eukaryota; Viridiplantae; Streptophyta; Magnoliopsida; Poales; Poaceae.